UAUAUAUAUAUAUAUAUAUAUAUAUAUAUAUAUAUAUAUAUAUAUAUAUAUAUAUAUAUAUAUAUAUAUAUACACACACAUAGCAGGAGCAGGAGUCUUGAGGUAUCACAAGUAAGGACACGUAAAAGCAUCCACGACAGAGGACCAGAGUUAAUUUUUCAACAACGUUUCACGGUUUUUUUUUUUUAGCUAACCUGAUGAUGCCGAAAGACUCGGUGAAACGUGGUUGAAAAAUAAACUCUGGUCCUUCGUCGUGGAUGCUUUUUACGUGUCCGUAUAUAUAUAUAUAUAUAUAUAUAUAUAUAUAUAUAUAUAUAUAUAUAUAUAUAUAUAUAUAUAUAUAUAUAUAUAUAUAUAUAUAUAUAUAUAUCAUUUUAUCUAAUUUACUUAUGAUAUAAUUAGCUGCAGAAAUCUUUGUAUAUCUUGUAACUUUUUUUUGUUUUUUCAGCAAAGUUAUGUAUUGAAUUUAAUAGAGAAGAACAGUUAUUCCGUUUUCCUUGAAGCAAUGAGAGAUAUGACAAUGUCACACGGAUGAGUGGCCACACCUUAUGGGUUUGUACCUACAAUUUGGUUUUACUACACGUCACAUUGUGUCUUUUACACUCACUACAUAGGUACCUGAAAACUGUAACCUGAGACAACGUGUUACUGGCCAUGACAGACUCCACAGAGGUACCUCCGUGACACCCAGUCUGUGCUUCCCACUAAAACAGGCUCCACUUCUGAACCUGUGACUUGUUUGCCUUGAUUGUUUCUAAUUUCUUCUCAACACAAUAUAAUAUGCUAUCCCAUAUGUCACAUAUAAGCGUUAACCAAUCAGAAUCCAAGAAUAAAACUAACCAAUCACAGCGCGCGUGAAGUGAAGCUAGUUCUGCAGCAUGGCAGUUCUUGUGUUACAAAUGGAGCUCUACACAUUAUGGUGCAGGAGGCUUAUUGAAAUGUAACUUAGGAAAAAAAUAACAAAUGUUCAGUUUUUGAAGCUCCUAAGUUAGCAACACUGGGGGACUGGCAACGCAGAGAAGACGGAAGUGCAAUAUGUGGCGACGUGCUGGUGGCAUUGUCCCGCUGGAAUCUAGUGUGUGGACAAAAUAACGAGUGUGGUGGUGUUUGGAGACGCAGGGACUAGAAUAAGUGCGUGCUCCGCCCUCUUCCAGCCAACAUUCUCUCCUUCCUUCUGUCCAGCCAUCGUCUUUCACCGCAAGCAUGACUGGCUGGGGUUGGCACCUCAGGAGUCGGGAGCGGGAGAGGCUGUGGCUCUCGCGUGUGGCCGCUGAUGUAACAAAGGUCCUUUUAACUUGUUCUUAUAUGUGUUGGUGUCUUGGCUCGAACUCACAAACAUUGGCUAUUCAUUAGAUUACUGUCAGAGGCUUCGGAGAUGAUUAUUCGGGUUGUCAUUGGUGUUGUUUAUUUCUCUCAUUAAAAAUCCUUACCAUAUCUAACAAAGUUUAAGGAGUUAUCGAGAUAGUGUAAUGAACCGUCUGAGAACACAGCUUUCCAUCGUGGCCACUCUUAUUUGCCUCUAUGGGAAGUUAGUAUGGAUUUUGAAGGAUAAAGAGUAAUUUCAUGGUUUUGGAGAUACUCUAAAAAGCAUUCUUGAUGAGAGAACACAACUUGUUAUUAUGAAUGCUAGACAAUAUAUUAGUACCAAGUGGGUUUUCUGCUUAUGCCAUCCCCUCCACCUCAUUCCUAGAAAAAGAAGACAAAAUAAAACAAAAUAGAAUAAACAAAUAAGAUACAAAAAUAUAUAGAUGAAAAUGGUAAAAUAGAUAAAUAAGUAAAUAGUUAGGUUUCAAUUUUUUUGUCGUUAAGUAUAGAUAUGAAUUAUUGUUAAAGGAAAGCCUCAGCACGUCCUCACCAAGAGUUUCUUGUCUCUAUAUUCAUGUUUUGAAUUGAAUGUUCUAUUAUGGCUCUCUGCAAGAUCAGAUCGGCUUUCCUUUAGUUAACCAUUUCUCUGAUAUUUGAUACACUUUUCCUUAUAAUCACCUACCACUCUGGGACAUCCCUCUUUGUUCUACAACCAACUCAAAUCAUCCUACUGGCUAGAAAUUACAAAAUGUACAUUUUUUUAUGCCCUUACAUAUAUUAUAAAGAAUCUAUGCAUUUCUUUUAGUGGUUUGAAUUAUUGUAUAUCGCAGUGAAAGUGAGUUAUCAGUGAGGUAGUUCUGUUAAUGUCACCAUGUAGCACUGACUCACCUGAACAACUGAUGCCUGGGCAUCAGUUAUGUGGGGCGGGUGGGUGCCGGACGCUGCUCAAGUUGCCGAUGAAAGGUUGAGAACUCGUUACUGGCCCCGGCCUUUAUUCUGAAAUCCCGUGGUCUCUUACCACGACUAUUUCCAAAUGUCACAGAGAGUAUUUCAUCUAUUAAAAAUUUUAUUAGUAUGUCACUAGAACCAUAAGAAAGCCUUUAAAAAUCCUUGUCACUCUUAGAUAGAGCCCUUUGAAAGUAGUAGGAGUGUGGCUCAGAAAUGCAUCAGUGCCUCACGGCGACUGUGUGGCGGGACAAUAACGCUGCCUUUCGAACACAGCCGCCCCAUGAAGGUGUCGUUGCAGCGCCACAACUUAAAAAUCUAACCUGUACGUGUGAACAGGAGGAGGACUCCUUAGAUGACGAUCAGAAGAAAGGACAGCCCUAUAAAGGGCAGACUGACCCAGCAAAACGAGGCGAGGGCCGGCGCUGUUUGUUGCUCAACCAUGUUCCGGUGUGUGCCGCCUCGGCCAAACAUUACCCAGCAAACAGGUUCCCACCAUGAAAGGCAAAGGAGCAAGGAAGGGUGACUUGUUCAUUUUCCUCGGUCUUGUACAGUGGCAUGAGCAAUACACGAGUGGCCUUACAUGGUGCGGAGUAGUGACCGGUUCCCUUAUGUAAGGACUCGGGCUUGGAAGGUGCCUCAGAGGACUUUUGAAAGGCAUCUAGCCAAGUUUUCAUAGACCUUUUCCCUCCUCAGUAAAGAUAAUUAACCGUUGCAAUGCUAUUCUCGUCCUUCCUUAUCAGUCACAAUACUAUAGAAGAAUGGUAUGCAUUGCAGGCACACUAUAAGGAAAAGAAAGGAAUAAAAAGUGGCAAACUUUGUCCUUUUAGGCUUCAGAACUAUUAAGGAGACCGUAAUAUGAAGACAAAAAAACCCAAAAGUUUUAGAAAGUAGUUAGGGAUAAAAACAAACUCUCCAUCUGUUUGGUGACUCACACUCUGACAAGCAGCGACGCUAUGUAAACAAGGGAACCUGAAAUGGAGCAGUGAGAGACCUGGGUAUGAACAGUCGGGGAGGGGAGUGCUGGCAAUCUCCAAGUGGUACAAUUUAACGAUAGGAUAAGGGAAGAUGUUAGGGAGGAUCUGAUCUACAAGUUUGAUUCUUUCCCCAUCGUCCCAGAAGGUCAUGGUUUGAGGGCCCGUACUCAGAAACGAUUUGAUCCCUCACAUAGCUGUUACAGAGAGGACUAACCGGGUUUUCAAUAAUGUUUCCCUGUUAAUAGUGAAGACAUCUUACUAAUCUCCCAAGAAAUUCUUUAAAAAUAACAGUGAGAAAAACCGCGUUGGUAUAACUUGAGUCUUUUGAAAAUAAUGAAUAUGAGGCGUAUAAGUGUCUGAGAACCGCGCCUCCACCAGCAGCGUCAGAAAAAGCAGCGGCUAUCAACAAGCAGGAAAGUCUUGUUUCGGUAUUCUCACUGCAGAUGGCGUCGGGUGAAGGACAGAGUGACCAGCAUGCCUCCAACACUCCAGUAAAAGUGUGCCAGUAGGUCCUUAGGAGCAUAGGGAAGAGAGAACAGUACAGUGUUCAUAGAAGUACUUAUGCAGGCGGAGGUGUUGCGGUCAAGGGCGACGGAGCUCCAUCAACUCAGCUGCAGAUAUCCACACUCGUUGCUCCACUUGUCUUUGGCUCACAUUCUUAGGACUAUGUUCGGGCUACUACUGCGCCAUCUUUAUUUGUAGGUUUUAUUUCUCUAGUGAGAGAUUAGUAAGAUUUUUUUUUUAUAAUAUUAACUGUAGAAACACUCCUGAGAACCUGGCUAACCAUCCCUGUAGCCUUGGAAAGUGGUAGUGGUCUCUUAAUAGUAGCUACGGUCCUUUUAUGCGUUGGUCUCGUACAAAAAAAAAAAAAAAAACACUGUAUUUUCAAAGUCGACAGAGUAAAAGUUUCAAAUUCUCCUAACUUUUUUCGAACAAUAAUGAAACGGAACACUUGUUGAGCAAUCCCUAGAAUUAUGAAAGCUCUGAUGGAAAUCUAGAUAACGCCCACUACAGUCUAGUCAAAGUAUAAUCAAGAUGAGACACCAACAGUUUAGAGAGUACAGUCCUUGGCCAAACCACUGCCUCAUUCUGGUUACUCGCGCCCUCUAUCGCAGCGACCAACAAACGCUGAGUGCUCCAUAACAUCGCACUGAUUUUGGUCUCCGUCUCAGAGCAGCUGCGUCUGUUCUUUUCCUGGAGAGUGUAUUCAUACCAAGUCAGGUGUCCAUAAGAAAAAAAAAUCUUUGGUCUUUUUCAUCACGAUUAAUUUCUAAGGACACAGAGAUGAUUAGUCUUGAUAUCAUGAUUGUUUCUCCCUUCAGUACUAAGGCAAUGUUACUAAUUUGACCCUAUAACCAUAAAAAUAACCUCAAAAACUCGUGUAGCGUAGCCUGAGCAAGUGGAGGUGCGACGCAAAAGUAUUUUAUAGGUGUGAGUGUCAUCAGUUUGAACCAGAAGUCCAGCGCACCGUGUAUCCAGCAAAUAACUAACAAUUUUUUCCAUCAUCUGGUUGCAUUCCAAGUGCAUACGAUGGACAAAGUUCCAAAUGUAAAUAGGUAAGCAAGUAAUUGUUUAUGCCAGGAUCGCUGCGCAGGUGACUGGUCAAUGAAUGGUGUUGGCAAAUUUCUGACUCUAGCGAACCUGAGCUAGUGGACUGAGGAAUUUUUAGAGAAGUUAGGCAUUGCAACUCAGACAACCACUUGACUAUCCUUGUAUUUACCAGUAUGUAUUGCAGUCUCAAAUUUUAUGUAUUAUGUAUGACAACAAUAAUUCAGCCUGCUUGAUUUGAAUAAAGACUAAUCACGUAUGCUACAAAAAUA
Molecule: long non-coding RNA, 5047 nt
Organism: Portunus trituberculatus (swimming crab)
Lineage: Eukaryota; Metazoa; Arthropoda; Malacostraca; Decapoda; Portunidae
Exons: 2
Source: RefSeq, a predicted model, not a curated record